AUUGAACGCUGGCGGCGUGCCUAACACAUGCAAGUCGAGCGGUAACAGGCGUAGCAAUACGUGCUGACGAGCGGCGAACGGGUGAGCAAUGCUUCGGAAUCUGCCCAAUGAUGGGGAAUAACCAGUCGAAAGAUUGGCUAAUACCGCAUAAGCCCUUCGGGGGAAAGCGGGGGUCGCAAGACCUCGCGUCGAUGGAUGAGCCGAAGUCGGAUUAGCUAGUUGGUAGGGUAACGGCCUACCAAGGCGACGAUCCGUAGCUGGUCUGAGAGGACGACCAGCCAAACUGGGACUGGGACACGGCCCAGACUCCUACGGGAGGCAGCAGUGGGGAGUAUUGGACAAUGGGGGCAACCCUGAUCCAGCGACGCCGCGUGUGUGAAGAAGGCCUGCGGGUUGUAAAGCACUUUUAGUGGGGAUGAAAAGCACAUUGCUAAUACCAGUGUGUCUUGACCUAACCCAAAGAAAAAGCACCGGCUAACUCUGUGCCAGCAGCCGCAGUAA
Molecule: ribosomal RNA, 501 nt
Filed under: uncultured bacterium
Lineage: Bacteria
Description: partial 16S ribosomal RNA
Rfam family: Bacterial small subunit ribosomal RNA
Source: RNAcentral